AUGAAAAGCACUUUGAAAAGAGGGUGAAAAGAACCUGAAACCGUCACGGGGGAAGCGGAUUGCGUUGGCCUGGUGGGCGCUUGUGUGUUCAGCCUUUAUUAUUAAUUUAAUUUGGGUGUAUUGGCAUAGGUGCUUAUCCGCCGUGGGUUUUCGGGGGCCGAUUUUGGGUCCCUGGAGGCUGAGGGCUCCCUUCGGGUGAGGACGGCGGAGUGACGACGCGAUACGACCCGUCUUGAAACACGGACCAAGGAGUCUAGCGCGGGUGCGAGUCGGAGGGUGCAAGCCCGUGGGCGAAGUGAAAGCGAGUGUAAAAACGAGCAGUUUGGGGCGGCAUAAGAUCGUUGAUCUUAAGACCGACCCAGAGCAGUUGCGCUGGGACCCGAAAGAUGGUGAACUAUGCCGGAGUAGGGCAAAGCCAGAGGAAACUCUGGUGGAGGCUCGUAGCGGUGCUGACGUGCAAAUCGCUCGUCCAACUUGGGUAUAGGGGCGAAAGACUAAUCGAACCAUCUAGUAGCUGGUUCCCUCCGAAGUUUCUCUCAGGAUAGCGGGCCGACAAGUUGUUUUGUGC
Molecule: ribosomal RNA, 568 nt
Filed under: Mychodea hamata
Lineage: Eukaryota; Rhodophyta; Florideophyceae; Gigartinales; Mychodeaceae
Description: eukaryotic LSU rRNA
Rfam family: Eukaryotic large subunit ribosomal RNA
Source: RNAcentral